Molecule: ribosomal RNA, 514 nt
Filed under: uncultured bacterium
Lineage: Bacteria
Description: bacterial SSU rRNA
Rfam family: Bacterial small subunit ribosomal RNA
Source: RNAcentral
GAUUAUGGCUCAGGAUGAACGCUAGCUACAGGCUUAACACAUGCAAGUCGAGGGGCAGCAUUGAGAUAGCUUGCUAUUCAGAUGGCGACCGGCGCACGGGUGAGUAACGCGUAUCCAACCUUCCCCUUAGUAGAGGAUAGCCCGGCGAAAGUCGGAUUAAUACUCUAUGUUGUAUUUUGAGGACAUCUGACGAAUACCAAAGAUUCAUCGCUAAGGGAUGGGGAUGCGUCUGAUUAGGUUGUUGGCGGGGUAACGGCCCACCAAGCCGACGAUCAGUAGGGGUUCUGAGAGGAAGGUCCCCCACAUUGGUACUGAGACACGGACCAAACUCCUACGGGAGGCAGCAGUGAGGAAUAUUGGUCAAUGGGCGCGAGCCUGAACCAGCCAAGUAAGCGUGCAGGAAGACUGCCCUAUGGGUUGUAAACUGCUUUUAUAGGGGAAUAAAGUGAGGGACGUGUCCCUUUUUGUAUGUACCCUAUGAAUAAGGACCGGCUAAUUCCGUGCCAGCCGCCGC